RNAcentral lists this ribosomal RNA (427 nucleotides) under uncultured bacterium. RNAcentral's name for it is "partial 16S ribosomal RNA". It matches the Rfam family "Bacterial small subunit ribosomal RNA", at positions 355 to 774 of the family's 1533-position model. The record is from RNAcentral.
UGGGGAAUAUUGCACAAUGGGCGCAAGCCUGAUGCAGCCAUGCCGCGUGUAUGAAGAAGGCCUUCGGGUUGUAAAGUACUUUCAGCGGGGAGGAAGGCGAUAAGGUUAAUAACCUUGUCGAUUGACGUUACCCGCAGAAGAAGCACCGGCUACCUCCGUGCCAGCAGCCGCGGUAAUACGGAGGGUGCAAGCGUUAAUCGGAAUUACUGGGCGUAAAGCGCACGCAGGCGGUCUGUCAAGUCGGAUGUGAAAUCCCCGGGCUCAACCUGGGAACUGCAUUCGAAACUGGCAGGCUAGAGUCUUGUAGAGGGGGGUAGAAUUCCAGGUGUAGCGGUGAAAUGCGUAGAGAUCUGGAGGAAUACCGGUGGCGAAGGCGGCCCCCUGGACAAAGACUGACGCUCAGGUGCGAAAGCGUGGGGAGCAAACA